GCAUGGAGUUCGCAUCCUUGUUCGAGCCAUAUAUUAUCAAUGGAAACAUUGGUCGUGUCUAUGGAAGCAAAAAUGUGCCAACAUGUUUGUACAAGAUCCAUAUUUAAAUGAAGCAGGAAAUAGGAGAUCUGAGCCUGGCAUGGAGUUCGCCUCCUUGUUCGAGCCAGAUAUUCCCAAUCAAAACCUUGGUCAUGUCUAUGUCUACAUCUACAUCACCUUUCUCCUACUGGCCACUAAAAUCCGUAUGGAAACUUAUAGGCAAAUAAUGGACCAUUAUUAUCACAUAGAUAGCAACCAGUGCUAUUUACUGCUAGGUAACAACUGUUUCUUACCCCUUCAACAACGACAUGUUUUU
This 355-nucleotide unclassified non-coding RNA is filed under the name Zea mays. RNAcentral describes it as "misc RNA Zm00001eb337230". Lineage: Eukaryota; Viridiplantae; Streptophyta; Magnoliopsida; Poales; Poaceae. The record is from RNAcentral.